RNAcentral lists this ribosomal RNA (465 nucleotides) under Vreelandella stevensii. RNAcentral describes it as "partial 16S ribosomal RNA". It matches the Rfam family "Bacterial small subunit ribosomal RNA", at positions 338 to 795 of the family's 1533-position model. Lineage: Bacteria; Pseudomonadati; Pseudomonadota; Gammaproteobacteria; Oceanospirillales; Halomonadaceae. The record is from RNAcentral.
CCUACGGGGGGCAGCAGUGGGGAAUAUUGGACAAUGGGCGAAAGCCUGAUCCAGCCAUGCCGCGUGUGUGAAGAAGGCCUUCGGGUUGUAAAGCACUUUCAGUGGGGAAGAAAGCCUUGGGGCUAAUACCCUCGAGGAAGGACAUCACCCACAGAAGAAGCACCGGCUAACUCCGUGCCAGCAGCCGCGGUAAUACGGAGGGUGCGAGCGUUAAUCGGAAUUACUGGGCGUAAAGCGCGCGUAGGCGGUCUGAUAAGCCGGUUGUGAAAGCCCCGGGCUCAACCUGGGAACGGCAUCCGGAACUGUCAGGCUAAAGUGCAGGAGAGGAAGGUAGAAUUCCCGGUGUAGCGGUGAAAUGCGUAGAGAUCGGGAGGAAUACCAGUGGCGAAGGCGGCCUUCUGGACUGACACUGACGCUGAGGUGCGAAAGCGUGGGUAGCAAACAGGAUUAGAUACCCUAGUAGUC